AAAUACCCUAGACUUUAGGCCCUAGACCUACGCCUAAAAAACCUUACACUCUAUCAGAUCCCUACCCGCCGUCUUACAAAGAGGGGCUCCUCGAUCUGCUUCUCCAGAAAAGGGGCUACAACCGCAGGACCCUAGUGAAAAAUCCCAGCCUUUCUCUUCAUCUUCCUCACAACAACGACCCCAGCGAUGCUCCUCUCUAAGAUCGGAACCAGUCGACCACCAAACUUGCCAGAAAAACUCCAGCUGACAUCGCUCCCUCACCACCAUAACUGGCCAGAAUCUGACGAGCAUACACACACAUACAGCAGCAGGGAACAGACAAACAUGAGAGGUGUUUGAUUGUUGGAAUUGCCAUCCGAUGUGGGGUCCACUGGUUUUGUUCGAAUUGGAUUUGUUGUUUUGAACUCCAUUCGUAGUUGCAGUAUUCUGUCCAUGAACCACCAAAUUAGAUUGAUUGUAAGACCAUUUUCAGGUCCAUAUCCUUUCAUCCCUCUUGUUAGUCAAUGAAUAUAAUUCUUUAUUUCAAUAAAUUUGAAUCUACUUAUGAUUUAUUUAACCAUGGUUA
Nicotiana tabacum (common tobacco) is the source of this 565-nucleotide non-coding RNA. The record is from RefSeq and is a predicted model, not a curated record. Lineage: Eukaryota; Viridiplantae; Streptophyta; Magnoliopsida; Solanales; Solanaceae.